UUUCCGUAGGUGAACCUGCGGAAGGAUCAUUAACAAAUCCGUGUCGCGUCGUCGGUCCCGCCGGCGAUGCACAUUUGUUCCGUGUGCACGGUCUGCCCUGCGCACUGGUGACACAUUUCUGCGAAUGUCUGAUCUCAAUUAGUUGUGAAUGCGUGAUAGUCGACUUUUAACAAUGGAUCUCUAGGCUCCUACAUCGAUGAAGAACGCAGC
RNAcentral lists this unclassified non-coding RNA (210 nucleotides) under plant metagenome. RNAcentral's name for it is "partial contains small subunit ribosomal RNA, internal transcribed spacer 1, and 5.8S ribosomal RNA". The stretch from base 162 to 210 matches the Rfam family "5.8S ribosomal RNA", at positions 1 to 49 of the family's 154-position model. The record is from RNAcentral.